This 428-nucleotide ribosomal RNA is filed under the name uncultured bacterium. RNAcentral describes it as "bacterial SSU rRNA". It matches the Rfam family "Bacterial small subunit ribosomal RNA", at positions 56 to 524 of the family's 1533-position model. The record is from RNAcentral.
UGCAGUCGAACGGGCUUCUUCGGAAGUCAGUGGCAGACGGGUGAGUAACACGUGGGAACGUGCCCUUCGGUUCGGAAUAACUCAGGGAAACUUGAGCUAAUACCGGAUACGCCCUUAUGGGGAAAGGUUUACUGCCGAAGGAUCGGCCCGCGUCUGAUUAGCUUGUUGGUGGGGUAACGGCCUACCAAGGCGACGAUCAGUAGCUGGUCUGAGAGGAUGAUCAGCCACACUGGGACUGAGACACGGCCCAGACUCCUACGGGAGGCAGCAGUGGGGAAUAUUGCACAAUGGGCGCAAGCCUGAUGCAGCAACGCCGCGUGCGGGAUGACGGCCUUCGGGUUGUAAACCGCUUUCAGUAGGGACGAAGCUAACGUGACGGUACCUACAGAAGAAGGACCGGCUAACUACGUGCCAGCAGCCGCGGUAAU